AUUGAACGCUGGCGGCAUGCCUUACACAUGCAAGUCGAACGGCAGCACGGGAGCUUGCUCCUGGUGGCGAGUGGCGAACGGGUGAGUAAUGCAUCGGAACGUGCCCUGAAGUGGGGGAUAACGUAGCGAAAGUUACGCUAAUACCGCAUAUUCUGUGAGCAGGAAAGCAGGGGAUCUUCGGACCUUGCGCUUUUGGAGCGGCCGAUGUCGGAUUAGCUAGUUGGUGGGGUAAAGGCCCACCAAGGCGACGAUCCGUAGCGGGUCUGAGAGGAUGAUCCGCCACACUGGAACUGAGACACGGUCCAGACUCCUACGGGAGGCAGCAGUGGGGAAUAUUGGACAAUGGGGGCAACCCUGAUCCAGCCAUGCCGCGUGUGUGAAGAAGGCCUUCGGGUUGU
This 398-nucleotide ribosomal RNA is filed under the name uncultured bacterium. Its description in RNAcentral is "bacterial SSU rRNA". It matches the Rfam family "Bacterial small subunit ribosomal RNA", at positions 30 to 426 of the family's 1533-position model. The record is from RNAcentral.